RNAcentral lists this ribosomal RNA (120 nucleotides) under uncultured bacterium. RNAcentral's name for it is "partial 16S ribosomal RNA". It matches the Rfam family "Bacterial small subunit ribosomal RNA", at positions 28 to 148 of the family's 1533-position model. The record is from RNAcentral.
GAUGAACGCUAGCGGCAGGCCUAACACAUGCAAGUCGAACGGCAGCGGCACUUCGGUGGCCGGCGAGUGGCGGAUGGGUGAGUAACGCGUAUGCAACCUACCUUUCACAGUGGGAUAGCC